GUGGCUGAAGGAACAAGGCUAUGAUGUCAUCGCCUAACUGGCCAACAUUGGCCAAAAGGAAGACUUUGAGGAAGCCAGGAAGAAGGAGCUGAAGCUUGGGUCUCUAAAGGUGUUCAUUGUGGAUGUAAGCACAGAGUUUGUGGAAGAGUUCAUCUGGCCUGCUGUACAGUCCAGUGCACUCUAUGAGGAUUGCUGUCUCCUGGGUACCUCUCUUGCCAGACCUUGCAUAGCUUGCAGACAGGUGGAAAUUGCCCACUGCGAAGAGGCCAAGUAUGUCUCAAGGCUCCACGGGAAAGGGGAGCAACCAGGUCUGCUUUGAACUCACCUGCUACUCAUUGGCACCCCAGAUUAAGGUCAUCGCCCCCUGAAGGAUGCCUGAGUUUUACAACAGGCUCAAGGGCCAAAAUGAUUUGAUGGAGUACGCAAAGCAACAUGGAAUCCCCAUCCUUGUCACCCCCAAGAACUCCUGGAGCAUGGAUGAGAACCUUAUGCACAUCAGCUACAAGGCUGGAAUCCUGGAAAACCCAAGAACCAAGCACCUCCAGACCUCUACACAAAAACUCAGGACCUGCCAAAGCACCCAACAGCCCAGUUGUCCUUGAGAUAGAAUUCAAAAAAGGGGUCCUGUGAAGGUGACCAACAUCAAAGAUGGCACUACCCACAGCACGUCCUCAGAUCUCUUCAUGUAUCUGAACAAAGUUGCGGGCAAGCACGGAGUGGGUCGCAUUAACAUCGUGAAGAACCACUUCAUUAAUCAAGUCCCGGAGUAUCUACAAGACUCCAGCAGGGGCCAUCCUUUACCACACUCAUUUAGAUAUAGAGGCCUUCACCAUGGAUUGGGAAUUAUGCAAAAUCAAGCAUGGCCUGGGCCUCAAAUUUGUAGAGCUUAUAUACACGGAUUUCUGGCACAGCCCUAAAUGUGAAUUUGUUCACCACUACAUUGAGAAGUCCCAGGAGCGGGUGGAAGGGAAGGAGC
Molecule: long non-coding RNA, 976 nt
Filed under: Rattus norvegicus (Norway rat)
Lineage: Eukaryota; Metazoa; Chordata; Mammalia; Rodentia; Muridae
Description: long non-coding RNA NONRATT021562
Source: RNAcentral